AUUGAACGCUGGCGGCAUGCCUUACACAUGCAAGUCGAACGGUAACAGGUCUUCGGACGCUGACGAGUGGCGAACGGGUGAGUAAUACAUCGGAACGUGCCCAGUCGUGGGGGAUAACUACUCGAAAGAGUAGCUAAUACCGCGUACGAUCUGAGGAUGAAAGCGGGGGACCUUCGGGCCUCGCGCGAUUGGAGCGGCCGAUGGCAGAUUAGGUAGUUGGUGGGAUAAAAGCUUACCAAGCCGACGAUCUGUAGCUGGUCUGAGAGGACGACCAGCCACACUGGGACUGAGACACGGCCCAGACUCCUACGGGAGGCAGCAGUGGGGAAUUUUGGACAAUGGGCGAAAGCCUGAUCCAGCAAUGCCGCGUGCAGGAUGAAGGCCUUCGGGUUGUAAACUGCUUUUGUACGGAACGAAAAAGCUUCUCCUAAUACGAGAGGCCCAUGACGGUAC
RNAcentral lists this ribosomal RNA (453 nucleotides) under uncultured bacterium. RNAcentral describes it as "bacterial SSU rRNA". It matches the Rfam family "Bacterial small subunit ribosomal RNA", at positions 30 to 478 of the family's 1533-position model. The record is from RNAcentral.